This 587-nucleotide small RNA is filed under the name Pongo abelii (Sumatran orangutan). RNAcentral describes it as "processed transcript". The record is from RNAcentral. Lineage: Eukaryota; Metazoa; Chordata; Mammalia; Primates; Hominidae.
AAAGUGCUCAGCCCCCAGGGCACAGCAGGACGUUUGGGGGCCUUCUUUCAGCAGGGGACAGCCCGAUUGGGGACAAUGGCAUCUCUUGGCCACAUCUUGGUUUUCUGUGUGGGUCUCCUCACCAUGGCCAAGGCAGAAAGUCCAAAGGAACACGACCCGUUCACUUAUGACUACCAGUCCCUGCAGAUAGGAGGCCUCGUCAUCGCCGGGAUCCUCUUCAUCCUGGGCAUCCUCAUCGUGCUGAGCAGAAGAUGCCGGUGCAAGUUCAACCAGCAGCAGAGGACUGGGGAACCCGAUGAAGAGGAGGGAACUUUCCGCAGCUCCAUCCGCCGUCUGUCCACCCGCAGGCGGUAGAAACACCUGGCGCGAUGCAAUCCGGCCAGGACUCCCCUGGCACCUGACGUCUCCCACGCUCCACCUGCGCGCCCACCGCCCCCUCCGCCGCCCCUUCCCCAGCCCUGCCCCCGCAGACUCCCCCUGCAGCCCAGAAUUCCAAUAAAACCUGCUGCAGCGCGCCUUCGCCGCCAAAGCAUCCAGCAGCCCCUGCUCCGGCCCAGCAUGGCGACCCCGACCCAGACCCCCACAAA